UACGUUCCCGGGCUUGUACACACCGCCCGUCAAGUCACGAAAGUCGGUAACACCCGAAGCCGGUGGCCCAACUCGUAAGAGGGGGAGCCGUCGAAGGUGGGACUGGCGAUUGGGACU
Molecule: ribosomal RNA, 117 nt
Filed under: uncultured bacterium
Lineage: Bacteria
Description: partial 16S ribosomal RNA
Rfam family: Bacterial small subunit ribosomal RNA
Source: RNAcentral